This is a non-coding RNA of Acanthosepion pharaonis, 99 nucleotides long. NCBI's taxonomy places the organism in Eukaryota, Metazoa, Mollusca, Cephalopoda, Sepiida, Sepiidae. The record is from the annotation of a GenBank genome assembly.
CAAAUCACGUUGAAACACCGGUUCCCGUACGAUCAUCGAAGUUAAGCAACGUCGAGUUUGGUUAGUAGCUAGACCAUAUAGGAAUACCAGGUGCUGUAA